Molecule: long non-coding RNA, 187 nt
Organism: Octopus sinensis (East Asian common octopus)
Lineage: Eukaryota; Metazoa; Mollusca; Cephalopoda; Octopoda; Octopodidae
Exons: 4
Source: RefSeq, a predicted model, not a curated record
UUACUCUUGUCAAAUGUAAUGCUUAUUUACUCACAUUGUUUUGAAUUAAUCAUAAAUUAUCUCAAAGCUUCAAGAUUUCAAUGAUGUGAUUGUUUACUUUUAGAAUGACAUUGUAGGGUUAAGCGUGAGAGGACAGAUCUGGGUGAUUUGAAAUAUAAAAUAGGGGAAAAUAAGUAGGCCAGAUCUG